UGUGGGAGCGGGCUUGCCCGCGAUGACGGCGGCACAUUCACAAAUGAUGUGUCAGGUAGAUUGCUAUCGCGGGCAAGCCCGCUCCCACA
This 89-nucleotide unclassified non-coding RNA is filed under the name Pseudomonas frederiksbergensis. The record is from RNAcentral. Lineage: Bacteria; Pseudomonadati; Pseudomonadota; Gammaproteobacteria; Pseudomonadales; Pseudomonadaceae.